This is a long non-coding RNA of Carassius gibelio (silver crucian carp), 1057 nucleotides long. RefSeq lists it as uncharacterized. The transcript is spliced from 3 exons. NCBI's taxonomy places the organism in Eukaryota, Metazoa, Chordata, Actinopteri, Cypriniformes, Cyprinidae. The record is from RefSeq and is a predicted model, not a curated record.
CCUUUAAACUAAACGUUUUAAUUUAUAUUUAUGGCUGAAUCCAUUUUUUUUACAUGGAUACAAUAUGAUUUGCAGCGGGACAUUAAACUGAAUUUAUUCAUUUGAUCAAAGCAAUUUUAUUAAAUUAAGCAUGGUUUGCACAUGCGCAUUGCUGAGUUGGAGUUCCGCUCUCUGACCACCUGACCUGUUUAUUUAAAGAAUUUUUUUUAAAAAAAACGUCUGUUACAGUUGAACUGUGUGUUAAGUGGCGGCAGCAGUAACUUACACUUCAGAGAGACACAGAAGAACUACGAGCAACUCUGAAGAAGCUUCAGGGAAGCAGCCACCAAUCAGCUGUUCCUGCUGUGCAAAUUAUUUGGAAUCUCCUGCCAGUGAUCAUUGCUUGUGGAUAAUGAGGUUGAAGAACUGGAGCGGACAACCAUGGCGAUCUUUAUCACUGGGAAAGAGGAUCCUCUCCAUCCACCUAAAGACAUUAAAAUUGUUGUCGAAGGAAAAGAGGUCCUGAACGAGUUGCCAUCGGUUGCUGGGCUCAUAUAUACACUAAACCUAAAAUAUCCAAAAAGGCUACAGUUCACCUUUGAAUUUGUGCAAAAGGUCCUGAUGGAGCUUGAUGGAAUAAAGAUGACCCCAAAAGUCACUAGACUGACCACCCAGCUGUACAGGGAUUAAUUGUAUAAUUGCAUGAUUGUUACAUUUUAUUGUGUUUUUACAGCCAAGACUUUAGAUCCUUUUAAUAAAAAGGUUGUACUAACAAGGCUGCAUUUUCACUGCAGCAUUUACAAAUGUGGCUGCCCAAGUUCGAUGGCUACAAGGUACAAAGGUUGAAUAAGGCCAAGUCUUAUGAACAACUGAAGAGACUGAUUGCAGUGUUUCAAGUAUUUCUGCUGUCAAUCUUCAUACAUUUGAAGCAAAUGUUCAAUGUUGUGAGUUUAUUGAACAAUAAAUGUGUUCUAAAGGAAAAGUGUUCUGAGUAGUCAUUGAUUAAAAUUUAUUGAAAUCAUUAAUUAAAUAAAAUAAUUAAUUUAAUUGGACCUAUAAAAAUUAGUUUGUUCCAAAC